AUGAAAAGCUUGUGUUCUAUGAGGUUUAUAUAUAUUUAUAUAUUUAGUACAGAGUACUUUCAGGAGAGCUGGGCUAGAAUUUGGUUUCUCCAUGUUCUUUCCAGAUACCAUACUUCCCAGUUGUUCCAGAUGUUCCAAGUGAGGAAAUCUUGUCAUUUAUGGGAUAACUGGCUCCCUAAAAGGACAUUUUCAAAGGGAUGCCAGAGCACAACGAAUGCUCACGGUGCCUGUAUGCUUCUCCUUCCAGCUCAACUGGAAUCAUCAGAGAUAGAGCAGUUGUUCAAAAAGUCUCAAGAGUUAAAAACAACAACAACAAUACAAAGAGAUGAGACCUGGUCUGAGGAACUUUGAGGAAGAAGGAAGAAUUGCCAACCUCAGAGAAGGGCUUUGUUUGGAAACUGCCUCAGUCAGUUUGAACCAGAGGAGCCUUGACUUUUAAUCAACCCAGAGAAGGGAAGGACAGAGCACCUCCAUAAAGAGGAAAAAGCAGUUUUACAUGGAAUUAUCAUUAGGACUUUGUUUCAAAAUCAGCUAUAAAAAGGAUAUGUGGAUAAAAAUGAAACAUGCUAUAAAUUUAAAAAUAUAUGCACCAAAACAAUCUUGAAAAAGAACAAAAUUGAAAGACUCCUGCCUUCUGGUUUCAAAACUAACCAUAAAGCAACAAUAAUCAAGAUAUUAUGGUACUGGUAUAUGGAACAGACAUAUAGGUCAGUGGAGAUAAUCCAGACAGCCACAUGUGAAGAAUGAAGUUGGAUCCAAACCUCACAGCAGAUACAAAAAUUACCCAAAAUGGAUCAAAGGCCAAGUGUAAAGGGUAGAAUUAUAAAACUUUUGGAAGAUACCGUAGGAGUAAAUCUUUGUGAUCUUGUAUUUCAUAAUCGUUUUCUUAGAUAUCACACCGAAAGCACAAGCAGCAAAGGAAGAAACAGACAAAUUAGACUUUAUAAAAAUGAAUAACCUUUUUGUUUCACAGGAUACUAUCAAGAAAUUGAAGGGACAGCCCCGAGAAGGAACUUGUAUCUAGAAUAUGUAAAGAAUUUUUACAGCACAAUAAUAAAAAGACAACCCAAUUUGGAAAGAGGCUAAGG
Molecule: long non-coding RNA, 1088 nt
Filed under: Felis catus (domestic cat)
Lineage: Eukaryota; Metazoa; Chordata; Mammalia; Carnivora; Felidae
Description: lncRNA (ENSFCAG00000049366.1)
Source: RNAcentral